RNA transcript from Helianthus annuus (common sunflower), 1184 nucleotides. It is a transcript of the gene named scarecrow-like protein 9, with no coding region annotated. The transcript is spliced from 7 exons. The record is from RefSeq and is a predicted model, not a curated record. NCBI's taxonomy places the organism in Eukaryota, Viridiplantae, Streptophyta, Magnoliopsida, Asterales, Asteraceae.
CCGUAUUAUGUUUUUAUGACCCGUUCCUGUACUCCUCUUCUCUUCUCAUGUACGCUUCUUUAACAAAACCCUAGAUUUCCAUUUGUUCAUCUUCUUCUCCUUCAAGCUCUGUAAUCCAUCAACCUCUGCAAUCGAAUCGUUUCAACCAUCAGAUUUAAAGCAGAAUAAUGUGGGACAGAAAGAAAGAAGAAACCGGGGAGUCUUAGGUAAUAUCGGCAAUCUUGCUCCAACCAUUGUUGUCGAAACUGGAAAACCGACUCAUAUAUGUCGCCCCAUCUCAAGAAAUUAUUGUGCCCAAUUGGCUGCAAAUGCACAAGGAGCAGCAGGCAAGAAUGUUAAGGUAGCAAAGGAUGAAGGGUUUGAGCUGCCAUACAGUUAUGAAGAAGCUUCUCAAAGAACCUAAAUUCUCAUUCUACCCUUUGACUAUUAAUUCCAUGCUCUGGCGUUGGAAGCCAUGUUCCAGCUUAGCAGUGAUACGAUCUUAGAUCUACAGGCGACUGAAUAGGCUAAUAAUGUGAUGCUAAAGGCCUAGAAGAAACACGAACUCGGUUUUUCCGUUCCCAAAUAAUCACGAGGAAAGAAAAACCGUAUUCGAAAGAAAGUGUCGAAGACGGGAGGAUAUCCAAACAAUCUGCAAUUUAUACGGAACCAACUGUGCGACCAAAGAUGUUCGACGACAUGUUACUUUGCGUUGAAGGUAAGGGUCGCGGUAAAAAAGGUGUAAACAAGGAUGUGGUGGAGUUGCGAAUGCUCUUGACGCUUUGUGCACAAGCCGUUGCGGCUAAUGACCAAAGGGGUGCAUUCGAUCUACUAAAUCAGGUAUGAAAACACGCCAGACACCAGGCGCCACCUCAGCUGCUUUUGAUAUGAAAACUCCAGCAAUUUCUAACAUGUCGUUGUCACACGAGAUUUUAGUUCUGCAAAUGACAAUGGAGGAUGGCUUCAAGAACUCGACGGCGACGGAAGAACUCCACGGUGAUGGCAGUUAGGGUGAAGAGGAUGGCUUCAAGGAUUGGUCUACUUUGCUAUGUUACUAAUUGUUCACUGUAGGUUGUUGGUUGUAGUGGUUCUGCAUUGUUGGUGCCAUUGUAAAGGGGACCAUACAAUGCUCAAUUUUUGGUGGAUUUUAUAUAAUAAAUAGCUGAACCUCAUUAUUAGAAAAAAAAAAGUAUUGUUUUGUAUUG